CAGUGAGGAAUAUUGGUCAAUGGGCGUAAGCCUGAACCAGCCAAGUCGCGUGAGGGAUGAAGGUUCUAUGGAUCGUAAACCUCUUUUAUAAGGGAAUAAAGUGCGGGACGUGUCCCGUUUUGUAUGUACCUUAUGAAUAAGGAUCGGCUAACUCCGUGCCAGCAGCCGCGGUAAUACGGAGGAUCCGAGCGUUAUCCGGAUUUAUUGGGUUUAAAGGGUGCGUAGGCGGCCUUUUAAGUCAGCGGUGAAAGUCUGUGGCUCAACCAUAGAAUUGCCGUUGAAACUGGGAGGCUUGAGUAUGUUUGAGGCAGGCGGAAUGCGUGGUGUAGCGGUGAAAUGCUUAGAUAUCACGCAGAACCCCGAUUGCGAAGGCAGCCUGCCAAGCCAUGACUGACGCUGAUGCACGAAAGCGUGGGGAUCAAACAGGAUUAGAUACCCUGGUAGUCCACGCAGUAAACGAUGAUCACUAGCUGUUUGCGAUACACAGUAA
This 490-nucleotide ribosomal RNA is filed under the name uncultured bacterium. RNAcentral describes it as "bacterial SSU rRNA". It matches the Rfam family "Bacterial small subunit ribosomal RNA", at positions 352 to 842 of the family's 1533-position model. The record is from RNAcentral.